RNAcentral lists this ribosomal RNA (469 nucleotides) under Vibrio sp. Its description in RNAcentral is "bacterial SSU rRNA". It matches the Rfam family "Bacterial small subunit ribosomal RNA", at positions 59 to 507 of the family's 1533-position model. The record is from RNAcentral. Lineage: Bacteria; Pseudomonadati; Pseudomonadota; Gammaproteobacteria; Vibrionales; Vibrionaceae.
CAGUCGAGCGGCAGCGACAUAAACAAACCUUCGGGGGCGUUUAUGGGCGGCGAGCGGCGGACGGGUGAGUAAUGCCUGGGAAAUUGCCCUGAUGUGGGGGAUAACCAUUGGAAACGAUGGCUAAUACCGCAUGAUAGCUUCGGCUCAAAGAGGGGGACCUUCGGGCCUCUCGCGUCAGGAUAUGCCCAGGUGGGAUUAGCUAGUUGGUGAGGUAAGGGCUCACCAAGGCAACGAUCCCUAUCUGGUCUGAGAGGAUGAUCACCCACACUGGGACUGAGACACGGCCCAGACUCCUACGGGAGGCAGCAGUGGGGAAUAUUGCACAAUGGGCGCAAGCCUGAUGCAGCCAUGCCGCGUGUGUGAAGAAGGCCUUCGGGUUGUAAAGCACUUUCAGCAGUGAGGAAGGCAAUGUAUUUAAUAGAUGCAUUGUUUGACGUUAGCUGCAGAAGAAGCACCGGCUAACUCCGUG